Molecule: ribosomal RNA, 433 nt
Filed under: uncultured bacterium
Lineage: Bacteria
Description: partial 16S ribosomal RNA
Rfam family: Bacterial small subunit ribosomal RNA
Source: RNAcentral
AACGAACGCUGGCGGCAUGCCUAACACAUGCAAGUCGAACGAGACCUUCGGGUCUAGUGGCGCACGGGUGCGUAACGUGUGGGAACCUGCCCUUAGGUUCGGAAUAACUCCCCGAAAGGGGUGCUAAUACCGGAUAAUGUCUUCGGACCAAAGAUUUAUCGCCUUUGGAUGGGCCCGCGUUGGAUUAGCUAGUUGGUAGGGUAAAAGCCUACCAAGGCGACGAUCCAUAGCUGGUCUGAGAGGAUGAUCAGCCACACUGGGACUGAGACACGGCCCAGACUCCUACGGGAGGCAGCAGUGGAGAAUAUUGGACAAUGGGCGAAAGCCUGAUCCAGCAAUGCCGCGUGAGUGAUGAAGGCCUUAGGGUUGUAAAGCUCUUUUACCCGGGAUGAUAAUGACAGUACCGGGAGAAUAAGCUCCGGCUAACUCCGUG